This 29-nucleotide small RNA is filed under the name Bombyx mori (domestic silkworm). RNAcentral's name for it is "ovarian small RNA-21537". The record is from RNAcentral. Lineage: Eukaryota; Metazoa; Arthropoda; Insecta; Lepidoptera; Bombycidae.
UACUGGUGGUAACGCCUAACUCCAAAAAU